ACACAUGCAGUCGAACGGUGAAGCAGAGCUUGCUCUGUGGAUCAGUGGCGAACGGGUGAGUAACACGUGAGCAAUCUGCCCCUGACUCUGGGAUAAGCGCUGGAAACGGCGUCUAAUACCGGAUACGAGCUGCGAUCGCAUGGUCAGUAGCUGGAAAGAAUUUCGGUCAGGGAUGAGCUCGCGGCCUAUCAGCUUGUUGGUGAGGUAAUGGCUCACCAAGGCGUCGACGGGUAGCCGGCCUGAGAGGGUGACCGGCCACACUGGGACUGAGACACGGCCCAGACUCCUACGGGAGGCAGCAGUGGGGAAUAUUGCACAAUGGGCGGAAGCCUGAUGCAGCAACGCCGCGUGAGGGAUGACGGCCUUCGGGUUGUAAACCUCUUUUAGCAGGGAAGAAGCGAAAGUGACGGUACCUGCAGAAAAAGCGCCGGCUAACUACGUGCCAGCAGCCGCGGUAAUACGUAGGGCGCAAGCGUUAUCCGGAAUUAUUGGGCGUAAAGAGCUCGUAGGCGGUCUGUCGCGUCUGCUGUGAAAACCCGAGGCUCAACCUCGGGCCUGCAGUGGGUACGGGCAGACUAGAGUGCGGUAGGGGAGAUUGGAAUUCCUGGUGUAGCGGUGGAAUGCGCAGAUAUCAGGAGGAACACCGAUGGCGAAGGCAGAUCUCUGGGCCGUAACUGACGCUGA
RNAcentral lists this ribosomal RNA (684 nucleotides) under bacterium xpnta344lb823offp11.20dc. Its description in RNAcentral is "bacterial SSU rRNA". It matches the Rfam family "Bacterial small subunit ribosomal RNA", at positions 51 to 749 of the family's 1533-position model. The record is from RNAcentral.